Hyla sarda is the source of this 612-nucleotide long non-coding RNA. RefSeq lists it as uncharacterized. Lineage: Eukaryota; Metazoa; Chordata; Amphibia; Anura; Hylidae. The transcript has 4 exons. The record is from RefSeq and is a predicted model, not a curated record.
CAUGAUGUCACAGGCACUUUCGGCAGCGAUUACAGAAGAACGGCUAGACCGAUUUUCAUUACAGAAAGUUUAUCCGAUAGAGGAUGAGGAUCUGCUGACAGUGAGGAGCCAAUGAUGUCUGGAUAUAAGACUCUGCAGAGAAGAUGGAGCUGGGGGAAGACCUGGUCUCUGGACCCGAUGAAGAAAAUAUAACAGAGAAGAUGUCACUCAAGGCAGAAGACGUCACUCAGUUUUAGAAAACGGGAGAAGGAAGAUAUAACUGAGGAACACUCUGGGAUCCUGGAUAGAAGAGAGUUCGUGGAAGGAGUCUGGAGGUCUUUGUUAUUCAAAUGAUCGUUCCAUUAUUCUCCAACGAUAAUGAAUAAUACAUCACACAAAGGAAUAAAGACUGGUUCAGCCCAUGUCCAACCAUGAGCACGGGGGGAUUAAAGGGAUACCGAGUAAUGUCGUAAUUGGAAACAGAACAGACUGAGAAUCUAAAGCAUAAUAGAACGCUGUGUUAAAUAAUUAAAGAAGAUGAAGCAAGGUUAUUGUUAUUCAAUGUUAUGUACAGUUAUUCAUUUAUUAUUUUUAGCAUUCUAUAUAUUUAUACAUCAUUUUAGAUAUAUGGUG